UGGGGAAUAUUGCACAAUGGGGGAAACCCUGAUGCAGCGACGCCGCGUGAGUGAAGAAGUAUUUCGGUAUGUAAAGCUCUAUCAGCAGGGAAGAAAAUGACGGUACCUGACUAAGAAGCCCCGGCUAACUACGUG
This 135-nucleotide ribosomal RNA is filed under the name uncultured bacterium. RNAcentral's name for it is "partial 16S ribosomal RNA". It matches the Rfam family "Bacterial small subunit ribosomal RNA", at positions 355 to 507 of the family's 1533-position model. The record is from RNAcentral.